CCCAACGUUGGGAAUAGGGUGCAGUGACAUCAAGAGCUGAACCCAGUGCUGGAAGCAGAGUGCAGUGACUGGGAGCACCAAACCCCAACGCUGCCACUUGCUGUCAGCCUUAGCUGCAUCCCAAAGCCACAUUCCUCCACCCACUGCCCUCUCCUCCCCAUCAGCAAUCAUUCCCCAAUGGCCUUUUCCAUCUGUUCUGCUGUUCCACGGGCUUUGGCCUCCUGCUAAAGUUAUCCAGACUGUGGUAGAGGUGGGGAGAGGCAGAAGCUGUGCCCCAAGAACCUGCUGCUGGCUUUGGGAACGGCGUUAUAUCCCCUUAUUAUCAGGUGGGAGAACUACAAAAAUAAUAAUAACAAAUAACACAGUAAUAAUAAUAAAUAAUGAGAAUGUGAAGAAUCCCACAACUUUUUCCCUUAGGUUUUUAUUUAUUUACUUAUUUUUCCCUUCAAUUCCCACUGGAGGAAGAAAGGAUUUCAUCAGGUGGUGUUGGGGGCACAUUUCUGUCCCUCUCAGUGGGGGUCCCAGAGCUGCUCUGAGGGUCCAUAGAGGAAGCAGAGGUCCCAACCCCAUCUCUGUGCCGGGUGUUCCUAUUGCUCAGCCCCACGGGCCGAAGGUGCGGACGGCGGAGGAGAAAGGAGGAGAAAGAAGAAGGAGGAGGAGGAGGAGGAGGAGGAGGAUGAGGCCGAGGAGAGCGGCGUGACCGAGCGGCGG
RNAcentral lists this long non-coding RNA (711 nucleotides) under Gallus gallus (chicken). RNAcentral describes it as "lncRNA (ENSGALG00010019131.1)". The record is from RNAcentral. Lineage: Eukaryota; Metazoa; Chordata; Aves; Galliformes; Phasianidae.